This 165-nucleotide ribosomal RNA is filed under the name Camellia pingguoensis var. terminalis. RNAcentral's name for it is "5.8S ribosomal RNA". It matches the Rfam family "5.8S ribosomal RNA". Rfam says of the family: 5.8S ribosomal RNA (5.8S rRNA) is a component of the large subunit of the eukaryotic ribosome. It is transcribed by RNA polymerase I as part of the 45S precursor that also contains 18S and 28S rRNA. Lineage: Eukaryota; Viridiplantae; Streptophyta; Magnoliopsida; Ericales; Theaceae. The record is from RNAcentral.
UAAACGACUCUCGGCAACGGAUAUCUCGGCUCUCGCAUCGAUGAAGAACGUAGCGAAAUGCGAUACUUGGUGUGAAUUGCAGAAUCCCGCGAACCAUCGAGUCUUUGAACGCAAGUUGCGCCCGAAGCCAUUAGGCUGAGGGCACGUCUGCCUGGGCGUCUCACG